Gymnodraco acuticeps is the source of this 702-nucleotide long non-coding RNA. RefSeq lists it as uncharacterized. Lineage: Eukaryota; Metazoa; Chordata; Actinopteri; Perciformes; Bathydraconidae. The transcript has 5 exons. The record is from RefSeq and is a predicted model, not a curated record.
GUAGAAGAAGAAGAAAUGUCACCACACCUGCCUUUGCUUUGCGGCAAAUACCAAUUAGCCUUCAUGAAAGGGUUCCUGCUUAGGAGUCUGUGAUUGUGAGGAGUGCUGAGGUCCAGGAUCAGUCGAUGUGAAGAUGGAUAUGCAAGAUGAAACUGAACACCCCCUCAUUCAACUCCUGGUUGGAGGACUCUUGGCUAAAUGGGACCUGAUCAGAGCUUAACAAGGAGAUGGCCGCAAGCGCGAGGGCUAUCAUUUCUACUUCAAGGAAGUUGUUAAGAAUGACUAGCAGGUGGAAUAGACAGCAGAGGAGGGAUUUCACCAGCAGACUCACCUGGCAGGAGUGCGAUACACCGAGCCUCGCUGGAGAAUAUCGUGUAUUUUGAUGUCAGGAGAAAGUGUGUAAGGUGGCUCUGACAGCGCCUUCAUUAGAGAGGCUGUCGCUCGUCGCCUUGUCAUCAAGUCGCUUAACUAGAGUUAUAACACAGCAACACAAAGCAUCGUCUUUAUCUAUCCUGGGGUUUCACUGAUGUCCUUAUUCUACUGCUAUAAAAGGAUUCAUUUAAAAUAAAAAAAAGGUGAAAAUGUAUAUUGCUGAGGAAAAUACUGAAUGUACAUCAGUGUAGUAUCGUGCUGAACAAAUGACCCCUCCUCACUUCUCUGCAGUGGUCUCUCAUCAUGCAGCAGAACACAUUAAAUAAUGAA